CAGGCGGAGAACAUCGGAAGUUUGCGAAGUAAACGCUCAGUAGCCUAAACGCUGUCAUUUAACCAAGCCUUUGUCUGUUUGUUGGAUUUCACUGAUUUACGGAUAUACUGCCUGUUUCGGAUUCCGAUUUCCUGGCUAGCCCCGUUUGGAUUGUUCGCCUGGACUUCGUCUGUUUUUUCGGAUCUCGUCUUCAAUUUGAUCCUCAUCUUCCUGUUACUGCACCGCCCGUGCUUGUCUCCUCACGAGGUAACAUAACAGGUGGUGGCUAAAAUAGCCAAGCUGGCAAAGCAAACCAAGAUCAAAAAGACAGCCAGGGACCAGAUGUUACAAAACCUAAAGACUUCCCUUUCUCAGAACAGGACCCUAGCCACACAAUAUCACCACACCAGUUCUGAGGAUGAAUUUCCACAACGUCAUGGUAUUUUUUUCCACUCCUGAUAAUCACACCAGUUCUGAUGAUGCCACAAACAUGGGGAGCCCACAACAUCCUGGCAUUAGCUGGAUACUGCAAGUAGAGCACUGUCCAUGGCGUAAUUUUAGGAGGACGGCCACUGUGGCCUUGAUUAGUGGAAUUAUGGCUUGUUCAAUACCUCCUAAUUACUGCUGCAACUGUGUUUCUUCUGAGUUUUAGUUGGUCACCAUUCUUCCUGUAGCCUUUUCCACCUUUUUGAAGUCUCUUCUACCAGAUUUUUCACUUCCUCUGGUAGUUCUUUUCAAUGUGGAGCCAUGAUGCAGACAUGCAGAUAGACGCAGCCAAUAGGUCCAAAAUUGAGAAAGUUCCGGUGUUCACAGGUCAUUUUAUAACCAUAUUCAUGUAAUUAGGAUAACUGGAAUUCACAGGUGUAAUCAAUUUAGUUUCAGUGAUAACAGGUUUUCUAACUUGUAUGUCAGUGAUCACAGGUGUAUUCACUUUUGUUGCAUUUAGUUUGUACUUUCUAAAGUAUUUGUUUUUGACUGUUAUAAGAGAAUUCUAAAUGUUAAACAUUUAUGAAUAAUUUUAUAUUUACAGUGCUCUCCAUUAAUAUUGGCACCCUUGGUAAAUAUGGAUUUUGUGGUCAGUAAACCAUUUUUGUGUUGAUUUUGAUGCAAGUUAUAUUGCGAUGUUGCACAUGGGUGUACUCACUUCUGUUGCUUACUGUAUAUGUUCGACUAUGUACUGGAAGCAAUAUUGACAUGCCAUACUCCUCACUUAUCCUGAUUUACUGUUCAAAAAUAGCAUUGGUUCAGUACAGGAUUUAGACAGACUAAUGUAGUGGAAACUGAAGAAAAAAGUUGUAUGAACAUGCCAUCUGAACAUGCUGUUCUUUACAAGUUUCCGUAGACAACUGCCUCUCAUGUGUGAGCGGCCAUCAGAUGCAAGUGAAAUAAUGAGCAGUUCAGCCAGAAAAAGGAGCAUAAUGUGUAAUUUGUGUAUAUAGGGUCAGUAUGGGUGUUGGUGCAAUAUUUUUUAGUGUUCUUUUAAUAAAAAGCAUUUUUCAGUUCUUUUCGUUCGAUUUUAAAAUGCUGGAAACAUGUAACGUUUAAAUAAAAACUCUUCAUUAGUGAUGUUAUUUAUUUUAAUGGCCUUGAAAACAAGUGCAUUCAGCACUGGGAAAAAUUCCCCAAAGUAAUUCCUUUAGUACACUGGUAGUAUAGCUAAGUAAUAAAGUAUACUGUUAUUGAAUA
This is a long non-coding RNA of Ictalurus punctatus (channel catfish), 1665 nucleotides long. The record is from Ensembl. NCBI's taxonomy places the organism in Eukaryota, Metazoa, Chordata, Actinopteri, Siluriformes, Ictaluridae.